CUGAAACUAAAUACCUGUUGUGCUCUGCCCAUGGCGAGGUUGCAGCUUAUCUCCCCAGCAGCAAGAAAGCAACACAAACCCUCCAGCAAAACAGCAAACAGCAGCAGGAUUAAUAAAUAACACCCAAAAAGGAGACAGUGCAGGAACAAGCUGUUACUACUGUACUCAGAGGCCAGAUCUACUCUAGGAAGCCACUUUAAAGCAUUUGAGGAUGAGACAAAUAAGGGCUUUUAAGAUAGAUUACUCUCUGCAAAAGAUCCCUUGUGAUAGAGUUUGCAUGGGUCCAAGCAAGGUAACAAACAGGUUGUGGUGGGAACCAGGGCCCCUGUUCAUCCUCUUGAGUCCUAUCAGGGUAAACACGAUUCUUGGGACAGUAGAAAUGUCAGAGCCUGCACCAGGCAGAAAUUAAAUACACAAGGAAAACUGCUGAUACUGCAGCCAAGGGGAUUGAAAAGCUGAACUGACUUAGAGUGGGUCACUUCCACAGUGCUUGGAACUGCCUUCAAAUUAUCCGGUCAAAUGAGUGUUAGAUAAGCAGAGUCCUUCUGGGCCUUCAGGGGAAUUCAGACAAGAGGGUUAUUCAGCAGCUGGGUGAUGACUAAAACUUUGUGAGGCAGGUGGGGGAUAAAUCCCUUCUGUGACCCAAGACAGCUGGUGCUGGAGGGCAGGCUGGGAGGGUGCCCGAGGAAACUGGGGUGGUUGAGCUGGGGCAAGGUCAAGGGUCCCUGUCUGUCCUGCCCAGUCACCACAUCCCUGAGCUCUUUGAGGAACCUUAUUUCAAUAAGGGAUUUUUUUUGCUCAGAUUUUUAUUUCUGUCAGAUUUCCUAAGUGGCCAGUAAAUCCCCUUAUGCAAUUGCUGUGCAUGACUGUAACUCUGCUCCUGACCAACAACUUUUACCUCACCAAUGCAGGGCUCUCAGAAGUCCAAAGAAAGGUUUUUCCAACACAUGAUGUGAAAAUGGUGGAUGAGGAGAGUAAGGUGUUUGGGAUCAAAGGGUUUAAGCAAAGCAUGGGAUCACAGUCUCUCUGUCCCCUCCAUAACACCGUAACAGGCCUGCCAGGAUCUCUGUGCUUGCCUUUGCCUCCUCCCCUCCUGUGGCCCUUGCAGACCAAGGUCCCAGAUCUCCAACCAACAUGAGAGGAGCCUUCAAUGGGAAAAAUAAAGCCUCUUAAAAAGCUCUUCUCUUUCCUAUC
RNAcentral lists this long non-coding RNA (1194 nucleotides) under Cyanistes caeruleus (blue tit). Its description in RNAcentral is "lncRNA (ENSCCEG00000012604.1)". Lineage: Eukaryota; Metazoa; Chordata; Aves; Passeriformes; Paridae. The record is from RNAcentral.